Molecule: ribosomal RNA, 769 nt
Filed under: uncultured bacterium
Lineage: Bacteria
Description: bacterial SSU rRNA
Rfam family: Bacterial small subunit ribosomal RNA
Source: RNAcentral
GGGAACUGCGUUNUGAACUGGGUGACUAGAGUGUNUCAGAGGGAGGUAGAAUUCCACGUGUAGCAGUGAAAUGCGUAGAGAUGUGGAGGAAUACCGAUGGCGAAGGCAGCNUCCUGGGAUAACACUGACGUUCAUGCCCGAAAGCGUGGGUAGCAAACAGGAUUAGAUACCCUGGUAGUCCACGCCCUAAACGAUGUCGAUUAGCUGUUGGGCAGCAUGACUGCUUAGUAGCGAAGCUAACGCGUGAAAUCGACCGCCUGGGGAGUACGGUCGCAAGAUUAAAACUCAAAGGAAUUGACGGGGACCCGCACAAGCGGUGGAUGAUGUGGAUUAAUUCGAUGCAACGCGAAGAACCUUACCUGGUCUUGACAUGUACGGAACCCUCCAGAGACGGAGGGGUGCCUUCGGGAGCCGUAACACAGGUGCUGCAUGGCUGUCGUCAGCUCGUGUCGUGAGAUGUUGGGUUAAGUCCCGCAACGAGCGCAACCCUUGUCAUUAGUUGCCAUCAUUAAGUUGGGCACUCUAAUGAGACUGCCGGUGACAAGCCGGAGGAAGGUGGGGAUGACGUCAAGUCCUCAUGGCCCUUAUGACCAGGGCUUCACACGUCAUACAAUGGUCGGUACAGAGGGUAGCCAAGCCGCGAGGUGGAGCCAAUCUCACAAAACCGAUCGUAGUCCGGAUUGCACUCUGCAACUCGAGUGCAUGAAGUCGGAAUCGCUAGUAAUCGCAGGUCAGCAUACUGCGGUGAAUACGUUCCCGGGUCUUGUAC